This 253-nucleotide ribosomal RNA is filed under the name uncultured bacterium. RNAcentral's name for it is "partial 16S ribosomal RNA". It matches the Rfam family "Bacterial small subunit ribosomal RNA", at positions 524 to 776 of the family's 1533-position model. The record is from RNAcentral.
UACGUAGGGUGCGAGCGUUAAUCGGAAUUACUGGGCGUAAAGUGUGCGCAGGCCGCCGAGCAUGUCGAGUGUGAAAGCCCCGAGCUUAACUUGGGAACUGCGCUCGAAACUACUUGGCUAGAGUGUGGCAGAGGGAGGUGGAAUUCCACGUGUAGCGGUGAAAUGCGUAGAGAUGUGGAGGAACACCGAUGGCGAAGGCAGCCUCCUGGGCCAACACUGACGCUGAGGCGCGAAGGCGUGGGGAGCGAACGGG